GAGGGUACAGCUCAGUGGUGGAGCACGCGCUUAGCAUGCACGAGGUCCUGGGUUCAGUCCCCAGUCCCUCCA
Molecule: transfer RNA, 72 nt
Filed under: Camelus dromedarius (Arabian camel)
Lineage: Eukaryota; Metazoa; Chordata; Mammalia; Artiodactyla; Camelidae
Also listed under: 1 other name
Rfam family: tRNA
About the family: Transfer RNA (tRNA) molecules are approximately 80 nucleotides in length.
Source: Rfam by way of RNAcentral